Molecule: ribosomal RNA, 497 nt
Filed under: uncultured bacterium
Lineage: Bacteria
Description: partial 16S ribosomal RNA
Rfam family: Bacterial small subunit ribosomal RNA
Source: RNAcentral
GAUGAACGCUGGCGGCGUGCCUAAUACAUGCAAGUCGAGCGAACAGACGAGGAGCUUGCUCCUCUGACGUUAGCGGCGGACGGGUGAGUAACACGUGGAUAACCUACCUAUAAGACUGGGAUAACUUCGGGAAACCGGAGCUAAUACCGGAUAAUAUAUUGAACCGCAUGGUUCAAUAGUGAAAGACGGUUUUGCUGUCACUUAUAGAUGGAUCCGCGCCGCAUUAGCUAGUUGGUAAGGUAACGGCUUACCAAGGCAACGAUGCGUAGCCGACCUGAGAGGGUGAUCGGCCACACUGGAACUGAGACACGGUCCAGACUCCUACGGGAGGCAGCAGUAGGGAAUCUUCCGCAAAGGGCGAAAGCCUGACGGAGCAACGCCGCGUGAGUGAUGAAGGUCUUCGGAUCGUAAAACUCUGUUAUUAGGGAAGAACAAAUGUGUAAGUAACUAUGCACGUCUUGAUGGUACCUAAUCAGAAAGCCACGGCUAACUACGUG